RNAcentral lists this small RNA (47 nucleotides) under Pirellula sp. SH-Sr6A. RNAcentral's name for it is "Acido-Lenti-1 RNA". It matches the Rfam family "Acido-Lenti-1 RNA". The record is from Rfam by way of RNAcentral. Lineage: Bacteria; Pseudomonadati; Planctomycetota; Planctomycetia; Pirellulales; Pirellulaceae.
CCCAGCCUUGAAAGGCUGGGCUAGUGUCUGCCGUCCCUACCGGGACU